CAGAUACUGCACUGCCUUAGUUUCAUCAGGCCUGAGGAGAACCUGGAAUGUCAGUGUAGGAUGAAAAGCAGUGGCUAAAGUAGACACAAAGCUUGAGUGGGACUUCCUAUCAAGUUAUACUCUGAAGCAUCAGCCAUCUGAGCAUUCCUUUUUCAAGAACACACUUGGUGCCAUUCCUGGCUUUGAUAAAAGCCACACAGCCAGCUCCAGACUCUUGAUGAGCUGCAAGUCACUAUUCCAG
This is a long non-coding RNA of Pipra filicauda (Wire-tailed manakin), 241 nucleotides long. RefSeq lists it as uncharacterized. Lineage: Eukaryota; Metazoa; Chordata; Aves; Passeriformes; Pipridae. The record is from RefSeq and is a predicted model, not a curated record. The transcript has 3 exons.